Molecule: ribosomal RNA, 874 nt
Filed under: Cortinarius orixanthus
Lineage: Eukaryota; Fungi; Basidiomycota; Agaricomycetes; Agaricales; Cortinariaceae
Description: eukaryotic LSU rRNA
Rfam family: Eukaryotic large subunit ribosomal RNA
Source: RNAcentral
GGAUUCCCCUAGUAACUGCGAGUGAAGCGGGAAAAGCUCAAAUUUAAAAUCUGGCGGUCUUUGGCUGUCCGAGUUGUAAUCUAGAGAAGUGUUAUCCGCGCUGGACCGUGUACAAGUCUCCUGGAAUGGAGCGUCAUAGAGGGUGAGAAUCCCGUCUUUGACACGGACUGCCAGGGCUUUGUGAUGCGCUCUCAAAGAGUCGAGUUGUUUGGGAAUGCAGCUCAAAAUGGGUGGUAAAUUCCAUCUAAAGCUAAAUAUUGGCGAGAGACCGAUAGCGAACAAGUACCGUGAGGGAAAGAUGAAAAGAACUUUGGAAAGAGAGUUAAACAGUACGUGAAAUUGCUGAAAGGGAAACGCUUGAAGUCAGUCGCGUUGUCCAGGGAUCAACCUUGCUUUUGCUUGGUGCACUUUCUGGUUGACGGGUCAGCAUCAAUUUUGACUAUUGGAAAAAGAUUAGGGGAAUGUGGCAUCUUCGGAUGUGUUAUAGCCCUUGGUUGCAUACAAUGGUUGGGAUUGAGGAACUCAGCACGCCGCAAGGCCGGGUUUUAACCACGUACGUGCUUAGGAUGCUGGCAUAAUGGCUUUAAUCGACCCGUCUUGAAACACGGACCAAGGAGUCUAACAUGCCUGCGAGUGUUUGGGUGGAAAACCCGAGCGCGUAAUGAAAGUGAAAGUUGAGAUCCCUGUCGUGGGGAGCAUCGACGCCCGGACCAGACCUUUUGUGACGGUUCCGCGGUAGAGCAUGUAUGUUGGGACCCGAAAGAUGGUGAACUAUGCCUGAAUAGGGUGAAGCCAGAGGAAACUCUGGUGGAGGCUCGUAGCGAUUCUGACGUGCAAAUCGAUCGUCAAAUUUGGGUAUAGGGGCGAAAGACUA